UGGAAGUAAAAAGUCGUAACAAGGUCUCCGUUGGUGAACCAGCGGAGGGAUCAUUACCGAGUUUACAACUCCCAAACCCAAUGUGAACGUUACCAAACUGUUGCCUCGGCGGGAUCUCUGCCCCGGGUGCGUCGCAGCCCCGGACCAAGGCGCCCGCCGGAGGACCAACCUAAAACUCUUAUUGUAUACCCCCUCGCGGGUUUUUUUAUAAUCUGAGCCUUCUCGGCGCCUCUCGUAGGCGUUUCGAAAAUAAAUCAAAACUUUCAACAACGGAUCUCUUGGUUCUGGCAUCGAUGAAGAACGCAGCAAAAUGCGAUAAGUAAUGUGAAUUGCAGAAUUCAGUGAAUCAUCGAAUCUUUGAACGCACAUUGCGCCCGCCAGUAUUCUGGCGGGCAUGCCUGUUCGAGCGUCAUUUCAACCCUCAAGCCCAGCUUGGUGUUGGGACUCGCGAGUCAAAUCGCGUUCCCCAAAUUGAUUGGCGGUCACGUCGAGCUUCCAUAGCGUAGUAGUAAAACCCUCGUUACUGGUAAUCGUCGCGGCCACGCCGUUAAACCCCAACUUCUGAAUGUUGACCUCGGAUCAGGUAGGAAUACCCGCUGAACUUAAGCAUAUCAAUAAGCGGAG
RNAcentral lists this ribosomal RNA (624 nucleotides) under fungal sp. ARIZ B402. RNAcentral's name for it is "eukaryotic LSU rRNA". The stretch from base 259 to 412 matches the Rfam family "5.8S ribosomal RNA". The record is from RNAcentral. Lineage: Eukaryota; Fungi.